GCCGCUGCCAAAACUGAGGUCUGAUGUGUGCUGUGUGUGCACUUCUGCAUAUGCUGCAUUUGCAUAUGUUAUUCCUGGUUUAAGGCUGAAUAAUGGAUUCAGGUUCUGAGCAGGAGCAACUCUACAGAAGUGAUUAGCCAGGCGAUGCUCAGUUCUGGGCUCAGAAAGUGAAGAGCGUCACCACCUAAAAAGCAAAGUAAAUUAAUUCCACGGUGUUAAAACUAAUUACAAGUAAACCCGAGAGAGCCAACGAUGGGAAUAAUGUGAAAUCCAGGAUUUGCUUCAGGAAGGGUCCACGGCGGAGAGGAGCCAGCAGCAAGGGUGGAAAUAAAAAGUAGAGCCCAAUCUGGACUGUCAGAAGUGUAAGACUCAUCCUAAACUGAAGAAGGAGCCAACAAACGUUGAAAGAAGACAGAGUGGGGCAUGAGCCUGGGGAUGCUAGCGGGAUCCUCUGGAGGACAGCCCGGAGAUGCAGGGACCAGACACAAGCCCACACAUCUGGAAGUCACUGCAGUGAUGUGAUCUAGAACAGAGGCUAAGAGCUUGGAGAGGAGCGACAGAGGCCAAGGUCAGGUGAGAGGUCUACCGACUAGAAGAGGGAGAGGAAGUCAGGACAAUGGACAGGGUCACGGCAGCGCGCCUGAGGCGUCUGGGGCGCAUCUUGCUUAUUAAACAGUGAUGCAAGGACCUGGCUAUUUCUGCCAGAAGCUCCGUGGGUGAGUCCACCAAACUGCUGGGGUGGAGAACCACUGACGUUUGGGGCCAAGGUGGCUGAAGUGGGCUCUGAACUGAGGCAAAGAGCAGGGAAGAAGAGGUCAUUGGAGGAAGCCUGCUGGGCUGAGUUUGCAGUGCCUCCAGCACGUCCUUCUGGAGAGGUUGGUUCAUCCACACCUGUUCAUCCACAAGAGUGGAGGAGCCACCUUCACCAGGAAGAGCUUCUGUCAAGGUAGAGAUGGCAUCUGUCCUAGGAAGCUCAGGCUGCUGUGAAAAAAUACCAGACACCAAGUGGCUUAAAAAGCAGGCAUCUCUUUCCUUAGAGUCCUGAGGCCCUGCAGUUCAAGAUCAAGAUGUGCUCAUAGCUGCUGUCUACGGAGACCCCUCUCCCUGGCUUGCGGGCGGUGAUUUCUUGCUGUGCCCUCACGUGCCCGCAUUCCUGGCGUCUCUUUUUGUCCUAAUCUCCCCUUCUUAUGAGGACAUCCUUCGGAUCAGAUUAGGGCCCACCCUGAUGGCCUCAUUUUAGCUUAAUCGUGUUCUUAAAGGUCUUAUCUCUAAAUACAGUCCAUUCUGAGAUACCAGGUGUUGAAGUGGGGAGGCAUAUAAUUCAGCUGUAAAAGCAUCUUCGUGGUGAUGGGCAAAUGUCAGCUUUGCCCAUUGAGCCCUGAAGGAACCACCGGUCCACAGGUCCCAUCUGAUAAGGAGACCUUCUAGUUUGGGGGCGAGGGGGUGGGUCUUGCUGGGUUAACCUCCCUGUAGCCCACCUCCCCCAGACCAUGGAUGGAUCGAUGCUUGCUGUGUGUCUGAUGAACCAUCUCAUUUCAUCCUCACACCAGCCAGCAUGCACUAUCUGGCAUCACUCUCUCUGUUUCUAAGAUGAAAACAGGUUUGGCAUGAAGGUGUGACCUGCUAGAGGUCCCCCUGCGGGGAGACCUUGACCUUGGUUCAUCUGGACUCUCCAGAGCCCAUGACCUUAACCCCGUACCGUACAGCUUCUCCUCGAAUUAUUUGAACCAGAAUUUCUUUGGCUUAGAAACAUCUCUGAUUCUUUUAGAACUAAAAGUUCUUAAGAAUUCACAGGUCAAGAAGGUGACCUUCCGUCAAAGGUUUCAAACUGUUUCUUAUCCCUGUGACUCUGAAAACCCUUCACAAUGUCGUAGAUGUGACGAUGGGUGGCUGGGACGUUCUCUGGUUGGCCUCACAGCAGGAUCAUUCCCGGUCUUCUCAGGAGCCCCAACAGCAGGAGAGAGAAGCAAAGGAGAGAUAAUGGCCCCAGGGGCGGCACGGAAAAGAGGCGGCAAUGACCGGGGAAGGGUAUUUUGAUUUCUGUCUCCCAGCAACACCCAGGGGACUGUUCCAGAGAAUGAACUGAGGUGAGUAAGUUAUGUGGUCCAGGAGUUGCAAAAGUGGUCCAUGCCUGGUGGUGCUGGCAUAGACGUUGAGGGGAGUAGAGAAAUCUCUCUGGGCAUCACAGCAUGGACGUGGGGCAAACAGAGCAUCCAAGGAGUCAACACAAACAUCUAUAUAUUUUUUUAAUUUUUUUGUCUUUUUCAGGCCACUCUUGCAGCAUAUGGAAGUUCCCAGGCUAAGGAUCAAAUCAAAGCUGCAGCUGUCUGCCGAUACCACAGCCACAGCAACACCAGAUCCAAGUGUCAUCUGCGACCUACACCACAGCUCAUGGCAACACCGGAUCCUUAACCCACUGAGCAAGGCCACAGAUCAAACCUGCAUCGUCAUGGAUACUAGACGGGCUUGUUACCGCUGAGUCACAAUAGAGCCUCCCAAACAUCCUUAUCUUGGUCACCAGCAGCCAGUCACUUUCAACCAUAGAACUGACCCCUUGGUGGAAGACGGAUGGUUUGCCAACUUCAUAUAAGAGACAUCACUACUGGAGUUCCCUGGUGGCCUAGCGGGUUAAGGAUCCAACGUUGUCACUGCGGUGGCAUGUGUUUGAUCCCUGGCCAAGGAACUUCUGCAUGCUGUGGGGGCAGCCAAAUGAGAAAAAAAAAAAAAAAAAAAA
RNAcentral lists this long non-coding RNA (2734 nucleotides) under Sus scrofa (pig). Its description in RNAcentral is "lncRNA (ENSSSCG00055006907.1)". Lineage: Eukaryota; Metazoa; Chordata; Mammalia; Artiodactyla; Suidae. The record is from RNAcentral.